Molecule: transfer RNA, 71 nt
Filed under: Marmota monax (woodchuck)
Lineage: Eukaryota; Metazoa; Chordata; Mammalia; Rodentia; Sciuridae
Description: tRNA.Asp
Rfam family: tRNA
About the family: Transfer RNA (tRNA) molecules are approximately 80 nucleotides in length. Their secondary structure includes four short double-helical elements and three loops (D, anti-codon, and T loops). Further hydrogen bonds mediate the characteristic L-shaped molecular structure. tRNAs have two regions of fundamental functional importance: the anti-codon, which is responsible for specific mRNA codon recognition, and the 3' end, to which the tRNAs corresponding amino acid is attached (by aminoacyl-tRNA synthetases). tRNAs cope with the degeneracy of the genetic code in two manners: having more than one tRNA (with a specific anti-codon) for a particular amino acid; and 'wobble' base-pairing, i.e. permitting non-standard base-pairing at the 3rd anti-codon position.
Source: RNAcentral
GGGGUUGUGGUUCAGUGGUAGAAUGCUUGUCUGUCAUGUGUGAGGCACUGAGUUCGAUCCUCAGCACCACA